Molecule: unclassified non-coding RNA, 1248 nt
Filed under: Hevea brasiliensis (rubber tree)
Lineage: Eukaryota; Viridiplantae; Streptophyta; Magnoliopsida; Malpighiales; Euphorbiaceae
Source: RNAcentral
AAUGUGAUUAGGGAAUGAUUUGCUUAACAAUAUCAGCAACACUGCCAGAGCUAAGGGCACCACCAUGUCAAGAGAAUCAAGUGUGCCAGAAAGCCAAUGCAGUUCAACUUGGAAUUCUCUCUCUUUCUACAUCCACUGGAUAUCUCUUGAGGAAUCUGGCCUUGCGUGGAGGCAUUUGGGGCAGAUCAGUAUUGUGGCGAAGAUCCAAAGCAAGAAUGACAACUUGAAGAUUCUUUAAUUGGCACUUUUUCCUCAUGGGGGAUCAAUUCUGUUGGCAUCAACUGUGCUUGUUUAUGCUCAAGAUUAUGUUGGAUGGGUCUGGGGCCUUGGAAUUCCUGCAAUUCCCAUGCUCCUAUCACUAGCCAUAUUUGUAGCUGGGUACCCACCCACUCUGUCGAAUUUUAGAGCCAGCUGGUUGUCCAUUUACAAGAUUGUUACAAGUCAAUGUGGCUGCAUUAAGAAAAAGGAAGGUUUCUGCAGUUUCCAAUCCUUAUUUUUUGUACUUUAUGAGGAGCUUGAUGCCUCUAUUUCAGCAGAUGGAAUGCUUCAUCAUACUGAACAAUUUAAGUUUCAUUUCUUUUGCAUAUACUGAUGCUGAAGAGGAUAACCCAGAUCGGUACACCUAAGAAAAUCUCAUUUACAAUGCAAUGCAGAUUUUUGGACAAGGCAGCCAUUAUGACAGAUGAGAAGAAAGCUCAAACCAUUAGAAAAACCGAACCUAUGGAGACCAAACACUGUUCAUAGAGUUGAAGACUGAAAUCUGUGAUCAAAAUGUUACCAAUAAUGGCUGUUGGAAUCCUCUUUUUUACGGCCUCUGCCCAACAGAACACAUUCUCACUGCAAUUAACGAGCCAAUACCAUGAAUAGGCAUCUCACAAAAUCCUUCCAAAUCCCUGCUGCGUCUACGUCUGUGUUCAACAUGACUUCAUGCUUGCUACAAUAGCUUUAUACGACCGUAUAUUUGUUCCUUCCCUUCAAAAAUUCACAGGGCUUGAGCGCGGCAAAAAUUUCUUGCACAGAAUGGCCAUAGUUUUCGCCAUUUCAAUAUUAGCCACUCUGGUUGCUGGAUUGUUGAAGUCAAGAGGAAGCAUAUAGCAUGGGCUACUGGGAUUACAAAUAGCAACAGCACCACUCUUUCCGUAUCAGUUUUUUUGGCUUGUGCCGCAAUAUAGCAUUCCCGGAAUAUUAAUUCGGUUCUAAACCCACUUUGAACUGGACUGGUUCUAGUCAAUUGGCAUCGCAAAGAUU